RNAcentral lists this small RNA (76 nucleotides) under Leishmania major strain Friedlin. RNAcentral's name for it is "Leishmania major c/D snoRNA". The record is from RNAcentral. Lineage: Eukaryota; Euglenozoa; Kinetoplastea; Trypanosomatida; Trypanosomatidae.
CGACGUGAUGAGGCUGACCCUGCUCCGCUACUGACAUGUGAAACCGUGAUCCGAGACUCUUCAGGGCAACUGACGG